This 779-nucleotide ribosomal RNA is filed under the name uncultured Sphingobacteriales cum 'Crenotrichaceae' bacterium. RNAcentral describes it as "bacterial SSU rRNA". It matches the Rfam family "Bacterial small subunit ribosomal RNA", at positions 60 to 829 of the family's 1533-position model. The record is from RNAcentral. Lineage: Bacteria; Pseudomonadati; Bacteroidota; Sphingobacteriia; Sphingobacteriales.
AGUCGUGGGGCAGCAUGACUGUAGCAAUACAGUUGAUGGCGACCGGCAAACGGGUGCGGAACACGUACACAACCUUCCUUUUAGUGGAGAAUAGCCCAGGGAAACUUGGAUUAAUACUCCGUAACAUAUAGAAGUGGCAUCACUUUUAUAUUAAAGCAGCAAUGCGCUAGAAGAUGGGUGUGCGGCUGAUUAGAUAGUUGGCGGGGUAACGGCCCACCAAGUCGACGAUCAGUAACUGGUGUGAGAGCACGACCAGUCACACGGGCACUGAGACACGGCCCGACUCCUACGGGAGGCAGCAGUAAGGAAUAUUGGUCAAUGGACGCAAGUCUGAACCAGCCAUGCCGCGUGGAGGAUGAAGGUCCUCUGGAUUGUAAACUUCUUUUAUCUGGGAAGAAAUCCAUUUUUUCUAAAAUGGUUGACGGUACCAGAUGAAUAAGCACCGGCUAACUCCGUGCCAGCAGCCGCGGUAAUACGGAGGGUGCAAGCGUUAUCCGGAUUCACUGGGUUUAAAGGGUGCGUAGGUGGGCGAGUAAGUCAGUGGUGAAAUCUCCGGGCUUAACCCGGAAACUGCCAUUGAUACUAUUUGUCUUGAAUACUGUGGAGGUCAGCGGAAUAUGUCAUGUAGCGGUGAAAUGCUUAGAUAUGACAUAGAACACCAAUUGCGAAGGCAGCUGGCUACACAAAUAUUGACACUGAGGCACGAAAGCGUGGGGAUCAAACAGGAUUAGAUACCCUGGUAGUCCACGCCCUAAACUAUGGAUACUCGACAUUUGCGA